UAUCUCUGUAGAGUCUGCAUAUCAAUAAGCGGAGGAAAAGAAACUAACAAGGAUUCCCUUAGUAACGGCGAGUGAAGCGGGAAGAGCUCAAAUUUGAAAUCUUCAAGGUUUUACCUUGACGAAUUGUAGUUUAAAGAAGUGUUCUCUGUUGAUGUUUUGGUAAAAGUUCUUUGGAAUAGGACAUCAUAGAGGGUGAGAAUCCCGUAUUUGACCAUUAUCUUCCAGCGUUGUGAUACACUUUCAAAGAGUCGGACUGUUUGGGAAUGCAGUCCAAAAUGGGUGGUAAAUUUCAUCUAAAGCUAAAUAUUGGCGAGAGACCGAUAGCGAACAAGUACCGUGAGGGAAAGAUGAAAAGAACUUUGAAAAGAGAGUUAAACAGUACGUGAAAUUGUCAAGAGGGAAGCGUUUGACACCAGUGUUGUUUUCUCGAAAAUCAAUUAAAAAAAGUUGGAUUUUGUGUUGUAUUGACCUUAACAGCUUUCUGCACUCUUUUCCUGUCUUUUUUAAUGCACUUUUCGUUUAACAAGUCAACAUCAGUUUCUUUUGUUGUAAAAGGGUCAUUGGAAGGUGGCUUUCUUUUCGGAGAAAGUGUUUAUAGCCUUUGGCCUCUGCAAUCGGAGAGAUUGAGGUCUGCAGCGUAGAUCCUUCGGGGUUAGAUACAUUUGUGCUAAGUUAUAGCCUUUUCAUAGACAACUUGUUGACUAUGAUUCAGUCAUGUAGCUUACUCGCUUAUGCUAUUUUACCUACGCUUAGGAUGUUGAUCUGUAGUGCGUGCGC
This 777-nucleotide ribosomal RNA is filed under the name uncultured Neocallimastigales. RNAcentral's name for it is "partial large subunit ribosomal RNA". It matches the Rfam family "Eukaryotic large subunit ribosomal RNA", at positions 24 to 632 of the family's 3401-position model. Lineage: Eukaryota; Fungi; Neocallimastigomycota; Neocallimastigomycetes; Neocallimastigales. The record is from RNAcentral.